CAGGACGAACGCUGGCGGCGUGCUUAACACAUGCAAGUCAAGGAGAACGGAUCCUUCGGGAUACUAUUAAACUGGCGAACGGGGGAGUAACACGUAGGCAACUUGCCAUGGAGAUUGGGAUAACCCCGGGAAACCGGGACUAAUACCAAAUAAUGCAGCGUAUCCUUCGGGAUAUGUUGUUAAAGUGGGCUUCGGCUCACACUUCAAGAUGGGCCUGCGUCCGAUUAGCUUGUUGGUGAGGUAAUGGCUCACCAAGGCGAUAAUCGGUAGCUGGUCUGAGACGAUGAUCAGCCACACUGGGAUUGAGAUACGGCCCAGACUCCUACGGGAGGCAGCAGUGGGGAAUUUUGCGCAAUGGACGAAAGUCUGACGCAGCAACUCCGCGUGAUUGAUGAAGCUUUUAGGAGUGUAAAGAUCUGUCGUGAGUGAAGAAAAAUCUGGAUGUAAAUAAUGUUCAGACUUGACGGUACCUCAUAAGAAAGCACCGGCUAACUUCGUGCCAGCAGCCGCGGUAAUACGAGGGGUUCUAGCGUUGUCCGGAAUUACUGGGCGUAAAGGGUUCGUAGGCGUCUUGCCAAGUUGAUCGUUACAGCCACCGGCUUAACCGGUGAUCUGCGAUCAAAACUGGCGAGAUAGAAUAUGUGAGGGGAAUGUGGAAUUCCUGGUGUAGCGGUGAAAUUCGUAGAUAUUAGAAAGAACACCAAUAGCGAAGGCAGCUUUCUUGAUCAUUACUGACACUGAGGAGCGAAAGCAUGGGUAGCGAAGAGGAUUAGAUACCCUCGUAGUCCAUGCCGUAAACGAUGUGUGCUAGACGUUGGAAAUUUAGUUUUCAGUGUCGCAGCAAAAGCGUUAAGCACACCGCCUGGGGAGUACGACCGCAAGGUUAAAACUCAAAUGAAUUGACGGGAACCCGCACAAGUAGUGGAGCAUGUGGUUUAAUUCGAAGAUACGCGCAGAACCUUACCAACGCUUGACAUGUUCGUCGCGAGACUAAGAGAUUAGUUUCUUCAGUUCGGCUGGACGAAACACAGGGGCUGCAUGGCUGUCGUCAGCUCGUGUCGUGAGAUGUUGGGUUAAGUCCCGCAACGAGCGCAACCCUUACUUUUAGUUGCCACCAUUUAGUUGAGCACUCUAAAAGAACUGCCAGUGAUAAGCUGGAGGAAGGCGGGGAUGACGUCAAGUCCUCAUGGCCCUUACGUGUUGGGCUACACACGUGCUACAAUGGCACUUACAAUGAGAUGCAAAGAUGCGAGUCUAAGCAAAUCUUAAAAAGGUGCCUCAGUUCGGAUUGUUCUCUGCAACUCGAGAGCAUGAAGUUGGAAUCGCUAGUAAUCGUGGAUCAGCAUGCCACGGUGAAUACGUUCCCGGGCCUUGUACACACCGCCCGUCACACCAUGGAAGUUGGUUACACCUGAAGGCAAAACGUAAAACUUUUGACUACGGUACGAUCAGCGACUGGGGUGAAGUCGUAACAAGGUAA
Molecule: ribosomal RNA, 1480 nt
Filed under: uncultured bacterium
Lineage: Bacteria
Description: partial 16S ribosomal RNA
Rfam family: Bacterial small subunit ribosomal RNA
Source: RNAcentral